RNAcentral lists this long non-coding RNA (1326 nucleotides) under Bemisia tabaci. RNAcentral describes it as "lncRNA ENSSSA1UGG000619". Lineage: Eukaryota; Metazoa; Arthropoda; Insecta; Hemiptera; Aleyrodidae. The record is from RNAcentral.
AUUGUAAUGCCAUUUAAACCUAUGGAAAAGGAUCGAUAAACAGGGCGUUCGCAGCGAACACCUUGAUAAUCGAUUUUUUACCAUAGGUUUAAAUGGCAUAACAAUCGAUAUAUCGCAAAGCACGCCACGACACUGGUCAAAAUCGAUAAAUUAAUGUGGCGUUAACGAGUAUUAACGUGCGCUCUGAUAUCCCUAAAAACUCAGUAUGCACCUUCAGGCGUUGCCAAAUUUCCGAUCCGAAAAUAUUUAUUUUCGAAGAAAUUUAUGAAUAUUUUUCCUAGAAAUUUGUAGACGUUUUUGAUCAAAUUACGAACAAAAUCCUACGUAAAAUCGGAAGAAAAAUAUUUACAAUAUUUCCCGAAAUGUUGCGAUUUAUCUGAGGAAAUUUGGCAACGUCUGACGGCUUAUACGGCGUUCUUUCUGAGCGCGGCAGCACAGGUACUCUGCAUUUACGGAAUUAUUUUUCACUGAGCUGAGUCGGAAUAUCGAAUGGUCCUAAUGAUGCAUGGUUUAACUGAUAGUCGCCUAAUAAAGCGCGCUAAUUGAAUUAAUCUCCGAAUUAAUUUUGCAGCCAGUAUCGAAUUAGCAGGUGGCGGUAUCGCAGUCUGUCCAAAGAGCAGUGACCGCGCUCUAUUGGAAAAUUCUGCCGCCGAGAAUUCAUCCCGAGCGCGUGUGCAAAAUGAGUGCAUGUCGCCAGCUGCUAAUCGGUAUGUAUAGCCAUAAUAUUUAUGCUUGCAUUCCCAAAACGAUGAGAAAAUCCAUAAAAGCUGUCUGUUCAUUUAAUUUAAAAACUGUGGUCCUAUCCCUAAAUGUGGAAACUACGCUUGCAACUAUUCGAACUCUGGAGUUGGUAUGUGGUAUCACGCGAAAAUGAAGGCAGAUCUUAGCUUUUGCCUGUCUUAGAUUACGGACGCUUAUGAAUGCCGCGAUACUCAGAUUAAAAACACGUACUCUUUUGUGUUUUUAUUAAACCGCUGGGCAAAAUUGCGCAUUUGCCGCGAUAUUAAGAUGAGAAUAGCUUUUAUGAUUUUACAAAACCGCUGGAACAAACGUGUAUUUUGCGCCAUAUUCAGAUGAAAAACACGUAACUCAGUGGCGUGGCGUGAAUUGCGAUAUAUCGAUUGUUAUGUCAUUUAAAUCUAUGGAAAAGGGUCGAUAAACAGGGCGUUCGCAGCGAACUCCUUAAUAAUCGAUUCUUUUUCAUAGGUUUAAAUGGCAGAACAAUCGAUACAUCGCAAUUCACGCCACGCCACUGCUGGGAAAACCCAGAGUCAACCGAGGGUUCGGUUAUUUUGUGUUUUACUUGCCGUGUUGAAUUGACCAAAC